Molecule: ribosomal RNA, 926 nt
Filed under: Acanthamoeba castellanii
Lineage: Eukaryota; Discosea; Longamoebia; Acanthamoebidae
Description: bacterial SSU rRNA
Rfam family: Eukaryotic small subunit ribosomal RNA (bases 110-926)
Source: RNAcentral
GGCCCAGAUCGUUUACCGUGAAAAAAUUAGAGUGUUCAAAGCAGGCAGAUCCAAUUUUCUGCCACCGAAUACAUUAGCAUGGGAUAAUGGAAUAGGACCCUGUCCUCCUAUUUUCAGUUGGUUUUGGGCAGCGCGAGGACUAGGGUAAUGAUUAAUAGGGAUAGUUGGGGGCAUUAAUAUUUAAUUGUCAGAGGUGAAAUUCUUGGAUUUAUGAAAGAUAACUUCUGCGACGCUUCUCCGAAGGAUGUUUUCAUUAAUCAAGAACGAAAGUUAGGGGAUCGAAGACGAUCAGAUACCGUCGUAGUCUUAACCAUAAACGAUGCCGACCAGCGAUUAGGAGACGUUGAAUACAAAACACCACCAUCGGCGCGGUCGUCCUUGGCGUCGGUCCUUCACGGGGCCUGCGCGAGGGCGGCUUAGCCCGGUGGCACCGGUGAAUGACUCCCCUAGCAGCUUGUGAGAGGCCCAGAUCGUUUACCGUGAAAAAAUUAGAGUGUUCAAAGCAGGCAGAUCCAAUUUUCUGCCACCGAAUACAUUAGCAUGGGAUAAUGGAAUAGGACCCUGUCCUCCUAUUUUCAGUUGGUUUUGGGCAGCGCGAGGACUAGGGUAAUGAUUAAUAGGGAUAGUUGGGGGCAUUAAUAUUUAAUUGUCAGAGGUGAAAUUCUUGGAUUUAUGAAAGAUUAACUUCUGCGAAAGCAUCUGCCAAGGAUGUUUUCAUUAAUCAAGAACGAAAGUUAGGGGAUCGAAGACGAUCAGAUACCGUCGUAGUCUUAACCAUAAACGAUGCCGACCAGCGAUUAGGAGACGUUGAAUACAAAACACCACCAUCGGCGCGGUCGUCCUUGGCGUCGGUCCUUCACGGGGCCGGCGCGAGGGCGGCUUAGCCCGGUGGCACCGGUGAAUGACUCCCCUAGCAGCUUGUGAGA